Fukomys damarensis (Damara mole-rat) is the source of this 1146-nucleotide long non-coding RNA. RefSeq lists it as uncharacterized. The record is from RefSeq and is a predicted model, not a curated record. The transcript is spliced from 3 exons. NCBI's taxonomy places the organism in Eukaryota, Metazoa, Chordata, Mammalia, Rodentia, Bathyergidae.
GGUGCAUUUUGCUGCAGGUGCCACAGAGCAAAUGCUGCAGCCACUGCCAGGGACCCGGAUGCCAGGCCUGGCCCUGCACACAGAACUCGGCCAUCUGCUCAAUAGCACAGGGGGUCAUGCUCGGCCCCCGACAUGUGAUAGCUUCAUUGGCAAAGGCCUCCAGAGAAUCAACUGUGACACCUGCAGCCUGCUGACCACAACCCCCCAGCCACAGAGUGGUGACUCAGCACAGGUGGUCGGAUCAGUGCAGGGCAGGGCACCCCACCCGCUGAAUAAAGCGAGGCGCCAGUGUGAGCUGGAACGAGCCAGUAUGAGCCGGAACGAGCCAUGUCCUUGCCUGCACUGAAUGUUCCCACAGCAUAGAGCAACAUGGAGAGAAUAAAGGAUAAAGAGCAACAAAUCCCAGAUUUGGGCUACAGCUCCAAAUGCACCACGAGACAGUCACCUUGCAGGGGAUCUCUGGGCUCUGGGCUGGACUCUGUUCAGGUUCCGGAAGACAGGUCAGGCCUCGUGGGUGCUGACUAUGGUGGUCGCAGCUCUACAUGGAUAAGAAAAGGCCAGUGUGUCGGCCAGGGAAAGCCACUCUGUGGGUUGUACCCACAGACAGGCCCUUUGGCUCUGUUCUGAGAAGGGCAGCUGCGAUGCCCCCUUGACGGUGAAUCUGUGAACACUUUCUCGAGAAGACCAGGACACCCGCUGGGAACCUGGACGUCGUGAAAAAAACUUCCCAAGCCACUCUGCUUCGCGAGGAUGAGGACUCCCCAUGAGCCAGGACAGUCUCCAAGAGUGACCUGACCCAGUGAUGCCCACAGCCAAGUCCCCAGGAGCUUUGCAGAGGCUGUGAAUGCCAACUGCUGCGUGCAAGAGCAGCCCACGGGCCACUGUGGAGCAUGAAUGCGCAGCGUGAGGGGCUCUGUGCGCGUGUGCUCCCGGACAGGCGCAGCACUCUGGGCAGGGACUCCCUCCCAGCCGCCACCGCUGGCUUCCUACGCUUCCUCUGUCCACGGAGCCAAAGACAUUUCACUUCUGCCCAGGAACAAAUCUCAUCCCUCUCGCUGGCCAGUGGGAGAGGCCGGGGACCUAUGACUUCCACUGUCGCCCAUUCUGGGUCCUGUGCUCUUCGUGCAGCUGUUCAGGCUGAACCCC